GAUGAACGCUGGCGGCGUGCCUAAUACAUGCAAGUCGAGCGAACAGACGAGGAGCUUGCUCCUCUGACGUUAGCGGCGGACGGGUGAGUAACACGUGGAUAACCUACCUAUAAGACUGGGAUAACUUCGGGAAACCGGAGCUAAUACCGGAUAACAUGUUGAACCGCAUGGUUCAACAGUGAAAGGCGGUCUUGCUGUCACUUAUAGAUGGAUCCGCGCCGCAUUAGCUAGUUGGUAAGGUAACGGCUUACCAAGGCAACGAUGCGUAGCCGACCUGAGAGGGUGAUCGGCCACACUGGAACUGAGACACGGUCCAGACUCCUACGGGAGGCAGCAGUAGGGAAUCUUCCGCAAUGGGCGAAAGCCUGACGGAGCAACGCCGCGUGAGUGAAGAAGGUCUUCGGAUCGUAAAACUCUGUUAUUAGGGAAGAACAAAUGUGUAAGUAACUAUGCACGUCUUGACGGUACCUAAUCAGAAAGCCACGGCUAACUACGU
This 496-nucleotide ribosomal RNA is filed under the name uncultured bacterium. Its description in RNAcentral is "partial 16S ribosomal RNA". It matches the Rfam family "Bacterial small subunit ribosomal RNA", at positions 28 to 506 of the family's 1533-position model. The record is from RNAcentral.